This 644-nucleotide unclassified non-coding RNA is filed under the name Malassezia sympodialis. RNAcentral's name for it is "sequence contains 18S rRNA gene, ITS1, 5.8S rRNA gene, ITS2, 28S rRNA gene". The stretch from base 208 to 361 matches the Rfam family "5.8S ribosomal RNA". Lineage: Eukaryota; Fungi; Basidiomycota; Malasseziomycetes; Malasseziales; Malasseziaceae. The record is from RNAcentral.
UCGUAACAAGGUUUCUGUAGGUGAACCUGCAGAAGGAUCAUUAGUGAAAGUUUCGGGCCUGCCAUACGGACGCAAACACGUCUCUGGCGCCCAUCACUAUAUCCAUACCAACCCCUGUGCACUGUGAUGACGAAUGUCAUCGAACAAAAAAAAACUCGUAUGGUUGAAUGUACGUGAAAUUGUAGGUAUAGCCUACGAACUAUACACAACUUUCGACAACGGAUCUCUUGGUUCUCCCAUCGAUGAAGAACGCAGCGAAACGCGAUAGGUAAUGUGAAUUGCAGAAUUCCGUGAAUCAUCGAAUCUUUGAACGCACCUUGCGCUCCAUGGUAUUCCGUGGAGCAUGCCUGUUUGAGUGCCGCGAAUUCUCCCUCCCCUUACGGUGGCCGAAAGGCCGAAGUAGGGCGGACGGGGUAGGAUGGGUGUUUGCUGCCUGGGGAUUGUACCAGGCUCGCCCGAAAUGCAUAAGCGCCAGGACCCUCGCUACCGCUCUCUAGGGAAGAGUGGCUAAGCGACCGCUGAGCAUGGCAUGAUACGUCAUUUGCUGUGUGUGGGCGGCCGGUUGGAGAGGUGUCUGCUUUACCAGCCCUAUUUUAAUUCUGGUCUCAAAUCAGGUAGGAUCACCCGCUGAACCUAAGCAUAUC